UAAAUACUCGCUCCGUUCGGAAUUACUUAUCGGAGAAACGAAUGUACUAGACAUAUUUUAGUUUUAAAUACAUUCAUUUUUAUUCAUUUCUGCGACAAGUAAUUUCGGAAGAAGGGAGUACGUA
Non-coding RNA from Triticum aestivum (bread wheat), 124 nucleotides. Lineage: Eukaryota; Viridiplantae; Streptophyta; Magnoliopsida; Poales; Poaceae. The record is from Rfam.